Molecule: long non-coding RNA, 556 nt
Filed under: Homo sapiens (human)
Lineage: Eukaryota; Metazoa; Chordata; Mammalia; Primates; Hominidae
Description: non-protein coding lnc-ATP6V1E2-10:7
Source: RNAcentral
ACAUGGUGCUACAUGCAGAGAAGAAGGAUAAAGUGUCAGAAAGGGAGAGAGAGUGAGAGGAGGUGCCAUGUUUCACGGAGUGUAAGGGAGGACUUCUCUGAAGCUAAACUUCAAAGUGAGAUCUGAAGACAGCAAGGAGACAUCUGGAUCCCAGGGUUCAAUCAAGAAAUUCAAGAAAAUGAAGUGAAUCCUGCAAAGGAGGCCAAGAACCAGCCCAUGAAGUUGAGAACCAAGAGAUGGUGGUCUUGGACAUCAAAAGAAGAGAGGCCACAGAGAAGAAGGAGUGAUCUGACCACUGCAUCGAAUGCUGCUGGGAGGUGGAGGAGGAUGAGCACUGAGAAGUGACUGCCAUGCAUCAGUUUGCAGCAUGAUAACCAUUGGUGGCUCUGACGGGAGUGGAGUGAUGGGGCAGAAACCUAACUGAAUGAGUUUAAGAAAUAAGGCAUAGCACCCAUCACACUGACUGAGUCAUCCGGAAAAUGUGAGAAAUCACUUAAUAAAGAGCUGCCCUGGGGAAAUGGACAGCUGGAUGCAGAAAGACACAUGGACGCACAUG